Non-coding RNA from Arachis ipaensis, 1979 nucleotides. The record is from RefSeq and is a predicted model, not a curated record. Lineage: Eukaryota; Viridiplantae; Streptophyta; Magnoliopsida; Fabales; Fabaceae.
ACAAAAAAUAUAUUAAUAGAAAACUUACAAAAAUAAACUCAAAAUCAGAAAUUCAAAAAAAACAGUACAAAAUUAACUCCGAAAUUUGAUCAAAAUCAAUAAUAAUUAACUCAACAAAAACAACAAUCAACAAUCUUUCAAUUUGGUUGACCUGGUCGAAUCGACUGGUCUGGUCCGAUUUAGUUUUCAAAACACUGAGUAACGCAUGUAUCAAGUUGGCACAGACCUAUUUCUUCCAAUUCAUCAAGCCCAUAACCACACGGCUCAUUUAUUUUCUAUCGAGUCAUUGACGCUCAAAUCCAACUAUUUCAGACAUAUUUCUUUCAAUUCAUCACACCCAUAUCUAGUCGGAUCAUUAUUUUUAUUGGGUUGUUGGUGCCCAAAUCUAGUUUACUUAGACCUAUUUCUUUCAAUUCAUCGAGCCCAUAUCAAAUCAGCUUCAUUUGUUUUCUAUCAUGUCAUUUAUUCCUAUAUACAUUAAGACUAUAUCCAGUUGGCUUCAUUUAUUUUUUAUCGGGUUGUUGGCACAUAUAUCUAGUUGGCUCAAAUCCAUUUCUUUCAAUUCAUCGAACCCACAUCUAGUCGGCUUGUAUAUUUUUGGUCCAAUAGUUAACGACCAAAUCCAACUAGCUCAAACUCAUUUCUUUCAAUUCAUCAAACCCAUAAUUAGUCGACCUUAUUUAUUUUUUGUUGGGUCGUAGACACACAUAUCCACUUAUCUCAUACCCAUUUCUUCUAAUUCUUUAAUCCCAUAUCUAGCCAGCUUCAUUUAUUUUCUAUCGGGUUUUUGACACCCGUAUUAAGUUAGCUCAGACCCAUUUCUUCCAAUUCAUCAAGCCCAUAACCACAAGGCUCAUUUAUUUUCUGUUGAGUCAUUGAUCCUUGGCUCAGACCCAUUCUUUCAAUUCAUCAUCCCAUAUCUAGUCGGCUUUAUUUAUUUUUUUUUCAUGUCAUUGACACCCAUAUCCAGUUGGCUGAGAUCCAUUUCUUUCAAUUCAUUAAGUCCCAUAUCUGAUGGCUUUAUUUAUUUUCUGUCGGGUUGCUGACACCCGUAUCUAGUUGGCUUAAACUCAUUUCUUUUAAUUCAUCAACCUCAUAUCCAAUUGGCUUCAUUUAUUUUUUGUGGGGUCAUUGACCCCUAUAUCCAGUUGGCACAAAUCUAUUUCUUUCAGUUUAUCAAUCCCAUAUCAAGUCAGCUUUAUUUAUUUUUUGUCGAGUCAUUGAUUCCUGUAUGCAGUUGGCUCGGAGCCAUUUCUUUCAAUUCAUCAAGUCCAUUAAGAGAGCUUCAGGUUCGGCUAGUUGAAGAAGGAGACCUCUCAUUAAAAUUCUAAACCGAUUAAAGUGUUCUUUUCAUUAUCCUCUUCAUCCUCAUACUAAUUUCUCUAAGGUCACAACUCCUUUUUUGAUGGUGAACUUGUUGGUGAUGGAUUCAUCUUAAUGUGGGUUUAUGGAAGGAGAUGAAGGCUAUAAUAUUUUUAUUUUAUUGACUUUGAUUUGUUAAUGUGCUAAUUUAUGUUUUAAAGACUCAUGUAUGUUGCUGUUACUAUUUUGUGAAUACUGAUGUUUUUUAAACUUUAAGGAUAUAAAGUAUGUCUACUAUGGAUAUUUGGUUGUCUUUUGAAUUUUGAUAUUUAAAAAUUCAAUGUGAUUUAUUUUGUUUUCUUAAUUUCAUGAUAUAUGUACUGUAUAAUUUUUUUCCCAAUCUUUUUCAUUUUUUAUUUUUUAUUUUUAUUUCAAAUGAAAUAUUCAAUUGAGUAACCUGAUUACCCGAACCAAUCCAAUCUAAAAGUAUUCAGUUUGGAUUGGUUAGGAUACAACACCAAAAAAUGUCUUAUCCGAUCCAAAUUGACCCGACACACAUUUUAAUUGGUUCGAUACUAUCUUUCUUUCAAACUCGACCCAACCCGACCCGAUUACAUCCCUACCCGAUUACACCCUUACCUACAGUUGUAUUUGGAAGAAAAACUAAAAUUGAGAGA